This is a long non-coding RNA of Mus musculus (house mouse), 10627 nucleotides long. RefSeq annotates it as predicted gene, 39642. The record is from RefSeq and is a predicted model, not a curated record. NCBI's taxonomy places the organism in Eukaryota, Metazoa, Chordata, Mammalia, Rodentia, Muridae. The transcript is spliced from 2 exons.
ACACACACACCACACACACACACACACACACAUCGCCACUUAAAGCUUAAAGCAGCCCCUACAUAUGAAACACAACCCCAGGCUUGCUGGCCCAACCCAGUCACUCUCACAAACAGCCACAUUUUAACUCCUAUCUUUGCUGACCUAUAACCAUGCAUAAAACAUAUUUACAAAGGAGGAUGAGGUAGACGCACAAGUACCACACAGAUUUCAUGAAGUAGAUACGACAGCAAAGAACCAUCAAGCAAAGACAACCAACACAGCAAUGUUACUGACUCAAAUUUAGUAAAAUCAGAGUUAUCUAACCCUGGCCUUCCUUUCGGUUGUAACUAUGGUGGCUGAUCAGUAUGGAGCUGCCUACCACUCAAAAGUAGCAACCACAGAACUCACUCAUGUGGCUCAUAGGGGGAUGGCUAUACUUUGGGAGGCUGGCCCUGGUUCUGUCUCUCUGCUUCCUGGGUCAGUGAUGUGUGAAAAGUAGCAUCUUAGCAACUCCUACUGCCCCAGGCUGGGCUUCUGAUGCCUUCCCUCUGUGUCAGCUCACUGGAACCAGGAGCUAAAAUACAGCUUUGUUCCCUCGGGUAAAAAUACAACCCAUUCGGUUAGACUUGGUUUAGUGGUCUUCAGGAAACUAUGUAUUCUUUGAUAGUGUGAACUGAGAUGCACACAGGGAAUGCACUGUACAUGAGACCACACACAUUUACAUUUAUAUAGUACCGUGGGGUAUAGUCACUCAGGUCUUUGUAACUGCUGUGAGCAGGCAGGGUAGGAAGGCUGGUGCGGGAAGAAAGGAAACGGUUUGCCUAGGCUUAGAGCAAGUUGUUGCCAAUGUUUGCUCUAUUCUCCAGAUUUUUCUUUUCAUCUCAGAGUACAAGGCUCACAGUCAACGUGAGUUAGGUGCUCAGCUGCUCUAGAUGCCUGGGAUCUAAGUGCAUACUUACAGUUGGUUUCUUUUUUCAUUUGUUGGAGAAAUGGUCAAGCAUCAGACAGAUUGGCUUAGUAAGCAAAUGGGGAUUUAAUGCUCCUGUAACAGGAAGCUGGAGUUGGUAUUUGUCAGUGUCACUUUGGCUGGUGGAGGACCCAGGCCUGUUCUGACUUUGCCAUUGCACUCUGGGACUUUCCUCCUCAUGUAGGUCACUGGAGAGUUGCAAAAUGGCUGUUUCUGCUCUGGGAGAAAGUGAGCCGUGGGAGAUGGUGGAUUCCCACUUAACCUAGAAAUCCUACCAGUUGACUUCAGUUUGAGUUGCACUGAAGGAUUGGUACCUAUCCUCUCCUCAAUCCCUUGUCCUCGUCCUUCUCUCUGUUUUUAUUUUAAAAAAGAAAAAGAAAAGACAGAGACAAUGAAUAUUGAGCCUUGCUUUGUUAUUCUUAUGUAGAGUUAUGCAGAGUGGUUAGCAGUGUUGUGUGAGCUAGCUUCCAGUGUCUGCCAUAGUUACACAGAAAUUCCAUAUUGAGCAAACUGCUUUGGAUAAACAAUUGACAGGAUGUCACUAUAUGUUACUGAUGGAGCAAGCAUUGGUUCCAUGGAGCUAGGGGGAAAGUUCUGUUAGUGAAGUGCUUACCACAUAACCGUGAGGACCUCAGUUCAGAUCCCUGGUUCCCACUGAAAAAAAAAAAAUAAGCAGAGCCAUAUACCUAUACCCCAAGCUCUGAGGGGAACAGACACAGAAAGCUCACUGGCUUAAAGGAACCAGCCUAAAGGAAUAAAUCAGCUUCGGAUUUGGUGAAAUAUAAUAUUUCAAAAACUAAAAAUGAGAGAGCAUUUGAGGAAAGACACCAGACAUUGAUCUCUGGCCUCCACAUGUACAUGAGCACACACAGGCAUACACAUGUAUAUGAAUACUUGCACACAUAUGUGUACACAACCACACAAAUACACACAUAAGCAUACAUAUAACACACUCCCUCUCACACACAUACACAGGUGUAUGCAUACUUACCUGCAUAGAUAUGUGCACAUAAUCACAUGAACACACACACAUACCACACAUAUUAUACAUUCCCUCUCAACACACAUAUGCACACAUAUCUCCACACGUGUUCACACAGUUACACAAAAAUAGACACAUAACACACAUAUAACACACACAUACACACAACACAAUUCGAAUACAAGUCGUAUUAUGCCUGAAGGGGUUCAAACCCUAGUAAAAGAGGCUAUGUGUAGAAGGAUAGAAAAAGAGUACACUAUAAAGUCAUCGCUGUUCUAUGGCCUGCCUUUGAUUCAUCCGUUGGUACUAAUUCAUCAAGAAACAUGAGUAUAGAACAACCAUAAUAUGCAAUGCACAAGAGUUGUGUUGGAACUCAACAGAGUUAACCCAUGUAAACCUCUUAUUUCUGCAAAAGCUCUUCCUUCUUGUGACUGAUAGCAUAACUCAUCAACUGGCCAUGAUUUAGAAUCAUGAGGAGGAGAGUUUCAGUGAAGGAUUGUCUAGUUCAAGUAGGCCUAUGGGAAUGAAUGUCUGUAGGGAGUUCAUCUUGAUUACAAUAACUGACAUGUAAAGACCUAGUCUCUGCUGUAAAAAAUACUACUCCCUGGGUUUGGGUCCUGGACUGUGUACAAGCAGAGAAAGUAAGCAUGGGGCACUACACUUUAAGUUCCUGAUACUUUGGCUUCCCUGAUGUUUCUGACUGGGACCUACACUGUGAGCUAAGAGAAACCUUUUCUGUUUGAAGUUUGUUGGGGCAUUUUAUCACAUAAAUGGAGAUGAAACCAAGACUCUCCUCAAUAGAGUUUUCCAGCCCUUUGAAAAAACGGAGAUGAAACCAAGACUCUCCUCAAUAGAGUUUUCCAGCCCUUUGAAAAAAGUAUAGAUUUCACUAGAAAAUUGUUUCCAAAUUGUAUACUAACUGGAUGUAUUGAACUUUUCACACAGUAAAAGGUGAAUAUCAGGAAGAUACUUGCCCAGAGGAAGGGAUCAACUAAAACCUAGUACGAUAGCAGAUUGCACAGUGAUAUUGCUUAAGUCCUAAGGUCACUGGCACAGUCCUAUGUAAAGAGUAAAGUAGAAAUUCUCAUUUGGAGGAACAUCUUGUCCUAGCACAUCUAUGCUGGUACAUUGCACAGAUCAAGAGCAUGAACAUUGCCUGGGAGCUUACUAGAAAUGUAAACUCUGGGGCUCUAGGCCUCACCUAGCAAAUUGGAAUCUACUUUUUAAUAGGACUUCAAGUGAUUUCAUAAGUACUUUUAAGGUUGAGAGGCACUGAGUCCUGACUAACUGGUUCUCAGCAAUUGUGGAAAAUAAACCGCAAACCAAGCCAAGCCAUGGUGGCUCAUGGCUUUAAUCCCAGCAUUCAGGAGGCAGAGGCAGGUGGAUCUCUGUGAGUUAAAGGCUAGUCUGGUCUACAGGUUAGUUCUGGGAGAGCCAGGACUACACAAAGAAACCUUGUCUCAAAAAAAAAAAAAGCUAGAUAGAUAAUAAAUUGAUGAGAGACAGACAGAACAACCCAAGAGAGUAAAUUAUCUCUGUACAAGAAGCUUGGAACACAUUUCCCUGUCUGAUUAGCUUACCUAAAAUACAGUUCUGAUGCUGGCACCCAAGUCCUCCAAGAGCUUGUCAUCACUCAUCAAAUAAGACCUCAAGCCCUCAGUCUAUAGGAAAGGUGCUUCCACAUCUGACAGCAUUCCCCCCUCAACUCUCCUUUCUGUCUCUGUUGUAAACCUUAAGACUGUUUCUCAAAAUGUGGACAGGCCACCUGAGGCAGGACCUACUGUGGCCCACCCUUAACCUUCUGAGUGAUGUCCUUUAGGGGAUAGAAUUGUCAGGAUGUGAUCUUGACCAGGCCUUAAGUUGAUUCUUGGGAAACAAACCUCCAUAUUAGUUUUCUCAUCCUUGGUUAAGCUUCCUACUGUGUGUUCAGGCAUACUGAAUGGGCCACUCCACCCUUAGGGCUAACAAUGGCCCAAAGGCAGCUGUUUCCCAUACAACAUGUGGCGAUGAGACAUUCCUGUGCUUAUUUCCCAAAUUUAUGCUAUGUGUCCUUCUUCACACACACCAUCAGUGAUGUACACAAAGUACAGUACAUGUUCAUCAUUUACUGGCUCAGCACUAGCUAUACCAGAAACAACCUAAGACUUUACUGUUCAGAAACUACCUAGAUUAACCACAUCACAGCCAGUAAAAUGUGAUGCUUCAUUGAAAACAACAACAUAUAUUGAUUUGAAAGGACACCAGAAUAUGUAUUGGAAACAUACAGCAAAUUGUAAAUAUAAGUAUAAAAGGAUCUUGACAAAUACACACCCAAACAUGAACAUGGGGACUUCAGAUCAGUAAGAUUAUGAAUAGCAUUUAUUCUCUUCUGUAUAUUUAUAAGCUGGCUCUUUCAGAACAAGUGUCUCUAACGUUUGUACAUUUUAAACUUUUCCACAUUAAAUGUUUAUAGAAGCAACAUUUCAUUGUACAUGACAACUUUCAUUUACUGUAGGUUGGGAAGGCUGAAUAUGUUGCUAAGAGGCAGAAGGAGAAAGUAGGAAAUGGAGUAGUCUUAGCAACCAACUCUGUUCCUUCAACUGUCUGGGAUUCUGAAAAGUAAUUAACCAUUCUUUGAUAUCUUAUGACACUUUUCUAAUAAAAUCUGUGGCUCUCAGUAGAAACAGCACAGGACAAAUGACAAGAAGCUACCUGCAGCCCAUGUUUUCAGUUGUCAAGUUCAGCCUCCAACCUAUGUCACUUCUCCCCGAAUGUCACUUUCCAUAACAUCCACUGGCCAAGAUUAAUCUGUUAAAUACUGUGCUUUACUCUAUUCCACAUGACUGAAAAAUUGGAUGUGUGAGGUGAUGUCAGUGACUCCCAGUUACUCUCACCAAAGUAGAGCGUCUUUAUUGCUAUGAGGGCUCGGGGUGGUGGAGGCUUCUCACCCAAUUUUCUUCUAGGACAAGGAAAACUUACAACACAUUUUGUUUUAAUUAACAUUUUACAUAAACCAUUCUAAAGAAAGAUAAAUAAAUUAACAUUUAAUUCAUGCCUCGACAAUAGGAAGGAAAUGUCAAUUAAUCUGACAUUUGAUUGAUGUUGACAUUCAACUAAAAAUUAAGAUUUGUAAAGGAAAAGUAGAAACAGUUUUAAGGCUCUACUAAAAUUUUAUGAUAGUUUGGCUCUAGUUUUAAUGUUUUAGUAUAUCCUAUGCUUGGAUAAUACCAACAGGAAAAAUAUGUUUUGUCACAGCUUAAUAACUUUAACAUAUUUUCAAUGUGGGUUCUCAAAUUCUAAUCUACAGGAAAACGAAGUAAAUAUGGGAUGGGAGACUUAAAAGACAUUGUAGAAUAUUAACACAGUGUAAACUAAAGCUUAAGAGUUCUUAAAGCACAGGGUCUGCUGUGUGUGUGUGUGUGUGUGUGUGUGUGUGUGUGUGUGUGUGUGUGUUUUCCUUUAGUCUAACUCACAGUCAUCUCUCUAAGGUAACAAAAUGCACAUGCGCCUUCUUGAGCCCUAGGCUUAAGAAUGUGGAGCUCAUUUGGCACGGUUAUUUGGAGUAUUGUUCAUGUCAUAAGACCUACACACAGAAAUGGAGUCUACAUGCCCACCCUAGAAGGGGAAGGGCCAUUCUUGCCUUUUGUCUUGCUGUAGCUACAUGACCCGAAUGACUCACCGAGCUUCUGAGAGCUCCCUACUUCCUCAUCUACGAAACAGACACAGAUCUAGAGGGUGUCUAGGUUCUUCCCAGAACAAAACUUCUUAAAGCUCCAGUCUUUACGUUCAUUCCCCAUACACACAACUACAAAUCUGGAAAGAUCAUAUUUUUGUAAUCCAAUGAAAAUGCAAAUUUUUUUAAAACUGCAUUUUAACAAAAUUUUCUCUGAAAUUUUGAACAAGGGAAGAAGAUAUUAAGGUCAUUUUCACGUGAAAUUUUACUUUCAGCAUCAGGACUGUCCCUUCUUGCUCAUCAACAUUACAAAGCCACCUCCUUUCACUGUCUCAUGAAUCUCCCCAGAUACUUGGCUGUCCUAAGUACAAAACUGGUAAGAAUAAUGAAAUAUGCUAAAGGCAGAAAACAUCUAGUAGAUAAUGAUAAUUAACUUUGUCUUCCAAAAAUAUAAUUGAAAGUAGACAUUCCAAUUUCUUAAAAUACUAUAUACCAGUGUGCCAGCUGGCUAUUACCAAAUCAGAAAUAAAAACUAACAUUCCAUUUAGUAUCGGGUGUGGUAGUAUAUUCAUGAUGUCACUAAUUUCUCACAACUCUAUGAGGAAGUAUUAUAAUUAUUCCCACUCGACAGCUGAGGAAGCUAAAAUUCCCUCAGUUUCAAAUGGGAAGCUAGAAAUCACCAGACCCACAACUGACCUCCUGCUCUCGUCCUCUGAACCCUUUGCUCUCCCCAUGACAAUCCAAGCUUACAAACACUUAACAUUUACACCAAACACAAGUUUACCUCAUUCAAUGACAAUGGCUGAUCACAGAUAUGCUAAACUACUUCUGUGGUUGUUGAACACAUAUGACAGAAAAAGUCUACCUUCCAAUACUUCAAAAUUAAAAAGGGAAAAGAACCACACAAUUGAAAAGAAAAAAACUAACCUCAGUUUCCCAACAAUAAACAAAAUAGUCUGGCAGCACUCAAUCUCUGUUAAUAUAAACACUGACAGUAAGAAUAGCUGUUUCUCCCUCACUAUUUGACUACCACGAUGUAGGGAUGUAGGAAAUUGUUUGUAAAUACUAGCAAGAAUAUGGGCAACGGGGAGAUUUCAUUCACUGCUGGUGGGAUGCUAAAUUGGCUAGUGAGACUCAGUGUGGAAUCAAUAUGGUUGCUUCUCAAAAACCUAAAAAUAGAACUGCCAUAGGAACCAACCGUCCCAUUCCUGGGCACUCAACCAAAAGACUGUGCAUCGUACUACACAGACAAAAGUCCACAUCCAAAGUCCACACUCAUUGUGACACUAGUCACAAUAACCACAGAAAGAAACCAGCCUAGAUGUCUAUCACCCUAUGGAUGGGUAAUGAAAAUGUGAUCCUAGAGUCGUGUGUUCAAGUUGGAGUGCUCCUAGAGACCAGAAAGGUAGGAAAGGGACUGUGGGGUAGGGGUGGUUGAAAAGCCAUUGAGGGAGGGAGAAUAACAGAAUGUGGAUGACAUGACAGUGGGAAAAGAAUAAUGGGGCAGGGAACGUUUAAGUGGAGAAGAUGAUACGAGGGUGGUCAGCAGAUGGGGAGGGACCCCCAACACUAACAUUGUUUUUUUAAAGCCGCAUGGAAAUCUAUUUUAUAAGACUACUCACAAAUAUCAUUUUUAGAUGGGUUUGAACAGAGGUAUUGUAUACAGAGAGAGAAUGUUUCUCCUAGAAGCCAUGGGUUACUAAACAAAGGUCCCAGUGUCAGAUGUGAAAGACCUCUCUAGAAUGUAUUGAUCAGGAAGGCCCUAGAAGCUCCCAAAACUAAACAGGUUAUUGCCAUUAUUCUUGAUUACCCAGGAGAACUUGAAGGUAAAGGCCUAUUGCUGAAGACAGCACAUGUUUAACUGGAAGUGAGUUGGAAACUUCCUCUCUGCUGCCUGGCUUUCACUGUGUCAGAGGAGCUGUGCAGACUGCUGGCUGACAAGAGUCAUUUACAGUCUUAGCCAGCUGUGAACCCUUCAAACUAUAAUAAUGACUGACCUGACAAGCUAUGGACAAUGGAGUAAUAGUGGUAUGACUGAUAUGGAGGUAGAAGGUAACCAACCACUUUCUGCUUGAAUCCAAGACCACCUUCACAAAGUAGGACACAGAACUAGUACUUCAAACCUGGUCAAAAGCUGGUGGCUGGAAUUCAUGGGCCCUAUGGGAGAACCCACUUCUAUUCCGUUGCUAAAUGAUCAUGUGACCAACCAAUCUUCUAAAUCUGUAGUUUAUACUCAUAGAUUAAUGCUACACUUGGCCUUCCUAAGUAAAAUUGGUAAUUUUAUAGUAUUUAGCAGAACUAAAAACAGAGCCUCCUACAAAACAAUUUCACUUCUAAGAAUUUGUCAUCUAUUUUAUUUGUUUGGACAAGGAAAAGAACUUCUUAAUAAUUGUUAAUCAUGUAAAGGUUUCUCCUGAAAACAGUCCAAAUGUUCCAUCAGAAGUAAUUCGAUUUGUAGUGCUGCACACAGUAAAACAUCAGGUUCCAAUAUAAGACAAACACAAGAGCAAAAAGGUACUGGAGUAGACUCACUUCUAUAUGAAAAUAGAUUAGAUAGAUAGAUAGAUAGAUAGAUAGAUAGAUAUCACACCCCAGAUUCUCAGUGGUAUGUGCUCAAUAAAAUAUUUCUAGAAAGAAACCCAAAAUUUCCCCCUUUCAAGUAAAGAACUGAAAAUGCAAGAGUUUGGCUUACAAGGGAAAACAUUCAGUUCUUUUAUAUUUAAUCCUAUCUGAAAUGUCUAACACUUUACAAACUUAGUCCCAAGACUCACUGAUAUUUCAAACUACUUAGAAAAAAUGUCCGUGAAAUACAUUUGCAAAUGAAAGAGAAUAUCCACAGUAAGAUACCCGAGGCAGUGCUUUCCCACCAGGAUUGCAGGGAUAAUCAUCCUUGAUCCAAUACCUACUGCCUCAAGCCAAACCCAGUAGCACAGUUACUCAAUAAGCACUGUGAGGAGCGGAGGGUCCUCCACUACAAUGCAGAUAUCCAUCUAGGAGAUAAUAGCUGUAAGCAAUACUUCUCAAACAUUUUCACCACGUUACUCCAAAUAUCAAACACACUGAGUUUGCUCCCCCUGGGUGUCAGAUAGUAUGUCAGAAGGCCCUCGUCUUUUUUAGUACACCCACACUUUUUUCAAAUAGAAAAAAAAUUCUCAUAAUAUUUCAAAGAAAAUGGACAAUCCAGAUAUAAGUAGUGGGUUAUUUUUUAAGCUUAACCUCUAAAAUGGAGAGCAGGCCUUGAGUAUGGGGUGAAGGACAAUGAGAAGAUACGCACAUAAUAUCUAACCUGCACAUCACACACUCUGUGGCUUCAUCCUCUGAGACCCCAUUCUCUACGCAAGUUCUGAACCCCUACUGUGGUUACCUGCCCUCACACUCACUAAGCCAUAGUUUCUUAGUUUCAAUAGAUACAGGGAAAAAUGCCAUCCAAAGAGGUGUUAGCCAGUGCAUUUUCCACAAACAGCAGUGCAUGGACCCCUUUCCUGACACCAUGUCAAUUAAGCACAGGGACAUAUUUUCUGUCCAGCUAUUUGACUAGGGGUGAAGGUAUAUAUCAAAUGCUGAAACAAACAUGACUGAAUAGUGAAGCAAAGAAUGGCUUGGCUGUGUGAUUAGGAAAACCACUCUAGCCAUCUUGGUUAGAGAAGGCCUAUCCCAAGGAGAGACAUUUGAGCUACAAUUUAAACCACAGGAUGUGUGAGAGCUCCUAUGUCAACUUGACUAAGCCAUGGGGCACCCGGGGGAAGCAUUAUUUCUGGGUGCAUCUCUGAGAGUGUUUCCACAGAAGAUGGAACUUAAAAUCAGCAAACUGAGAAAAGAUGGCCCUACCCAACACAGGUGGAAACCAUCUAGUCGCGUAAAGCCCAUACGGGACACAGCAAAGGAAGGGAGAAGUCAGCUCUCUGUUUCUGUCUUCCCAUUUUAGCCAAGCCAUCUCUUCUUCUCCUGCAUUUGGACAGACAAGCUUCCCUGAUUGAGGGGUUUUCAGAGUCAGACAAAAACAUAUCACCAGCUCCCUGCUUCUCCCCCUUUCAGGUGGCAAACUGUGGGAAUUCCUGCUUUUCACUUUCAUGUUAGCCCAGUCAUAAGUCUCCGUAACAUCAGUCAAUAUCCUGUUUCACUAGAGAGCCCUGACUGAUGCCGAAGGGGUUAUCAGGUCAAAUAUGAGGAAUGUCCUAAAGCAAAGUCCUAAAGAACAUACUUGAAACAUUAAAGCACAGGAAAGUGACCACUGUGGUUGGAAAAUAAACACCUGGGAACAAGGGCUAAACAAUAAGAGAGACCAGUUCCUGUAAAGCUUUACUGACUGAAAUCAGAACGUGAUUAUUUAUUUUUUUGUUUUGCAGUGGGAAUUUUUGGAGGUCUGUAGACAGGAGAGUGAUAUAAGCUCACUUAUUAUCUUUUGAGAAAGUCAUUCCUAGUGCGAUGUGGGCAAGGCUUUACGGGAAGCAAACACAAGGAUGACUCCGAGACAAAGUCAUCCAGGCGCAUGAUGAUGGGGGUAAGUCAUGAACGUACUAGUGAGGAUAGCCGUCAUGCAGAGGAAGAUAUCGAACACGGCGGCAUUCAGAAUCCCACCCCCAGUCACUGACAUCCUCUCUAUAAAGCUAACCACUCUGAUUCAUAACUCCAUAAGUUAUUUGUCCUACUGGGACCCCUGUGUAAAUGGGAUGUGGCAAUAUAUUAUGUUACACUUGAUACCCUGUGUAUAGAACACAUGCAAACCACCUUAGGUCACUAUAGCUUAUCCUUUGUUGUAAGUAUACUGCACUCUGUCUGUUUCUGAUGAAAAUGGGUGUUUCAGUUAUGUGCGGGUUUGGACCUUUUAACAAUGCCGCUGCUGUAACAUUCUGUUCAACUGUCUCCAUCACAGAGAGCAGGUUUUCGCACGAUGGAACAACUGCAUGACAUUUCAGGAAACCUCAUUUCUUCAAAAAAAACUGAAUCCUGUAACUGACCAAUUCAUUUUCUUCUAUGCACACGUGUGUUUCAUCCUAGAUCCUAAAUGUUAUCAAUAAAAAAAUGUAUCCAAGUCUUAUUUCUA